AGAUUGAACGCUGGCGGCAUGCUUUACACAUGCAAGUCGAACGGUAACAGGCCGCAAGGUGCUGACGAGUGGCGAACGGGUGAGUAAUGCAUCGGAACGUGCCCAGUCGUGGGGGAUAACGCAGCGAAAGCUGUGCUAAUACCGCAUACGAUCUAUGGAUGAAAGCGGGGGACCAAAGGCCUCGCGCGAUUGGAGCGGCCGAUGUCAGAUUAGCUAGUUGGUGGGGUAAAGGCCCACCAAGGCGACGAUCUGUAGCUGGUCUGAGAGGACGACCAGCCACACUGGAACUGAGACACGGUCCAGACUCCUACGGGAGCAGCAGUGGGGAAUUUUGGACAAUGGGCGCAAGCCUGAUCCAGCAAUGCCGCGUGCGAGGAAGAAGGCCUUACGGUUGUAAACUGUCUUUUGUACGGUAACGAAACGGUUCUAGGGUUAAUACCGUCGGUACUAAGUGACGGUACCGUAAGAAUAAGACCACCGGCUAACGUACGUAGCCCAGCAG
RNAcentral lists this ribosomal RNA (502 nucleotides) under uncultured soil bacterium. RNAcentral describes it as "bacterial SSU rRNA". It matches the Rfam family "Bacterial small subunit ribosomal RNA", at positions 26 to 514 of the family's 1533-position model. The record is from RNAcentral.